CAGCGUCCUAUCACGUCAAAAUCUUUCAGAUUUUUUGUUUGGUAAACGCCUAAUUACUGCUUCUUGUAGUUGUGAAGUUGCUCAAAAAGUCAAGCCAAAUAGGUUUUGCAUAUCAUUAGGCGGAAUCAAUAGCAAGUCUCCUAGAUGCAACGAUGAAAUGAAGAGCAUCAUAAUGAGUUGCGAGAGUUUGCAUUUCUUGGCGUAAAGGCUAAUGAAAAGCUAAAACACAUAAUUAUGGGGAGAAUUAUUUUAGUUAUGAGCGUAUACAAUAGGAAGAACAGAAUAAUUUCUUCAAUGAAUGAAAAUUGCUGCUAUGUUAGGAUGAAAACCCAGUGAUUAUAAAGCAAGCGGUCUCCACAAUUUUUGCUGGAACUAAUCGGAAAAAGAAGACGGCGAAAGCUGCAUCCAUAUCGAUAGAUUUGAGCUAACAGUGGCCAUCAUUAUUUCGUUCACACUGUUACUGAAAAUGGUACAAUUUCAUCCAUGAGGCAAGUAAGCCUUUCUUUAUUUUAUUUAACUUACAGUGCCUAAAUAUCUAAUACAAACGCAGAGAAGAAAAUAUCAUCAGGUCUCUACUAUGGCUGUUAUCUCAAGUACAUUUUAUGCAAUCUCUUCAAUUUUGAUCCUGCUUUAUCCGCGAGACAUUAAUGUCUUUCCGUUUCUUUUUAAUGUGUGUCGCUGUGCGAGGGACUGUAGGGUUGAUAUGCCUACGGUCGGUGUCAUCGUUGUUGACGAAGUUAAUUUUUGUUUCUCUGCCCUUUAGGUUGUGGACAUUUCGGAAUCGUUUGUGGCCAAUUUUACAUGGAAAGAGAUUUCACAAUCCAGCCAUUUCAUUUUCUUCAGGAGUUAAUGAUCCCGAAAAUAUACUUCUUGGCAAGUUCUGCAGAGUGCAGGUUAGGAUCCAUUUUCAGAAAUCUGCGGAGUACACUGAUUCAAGAAAUGUUUUCACAGGUAAAGAAUGUUCCAAGAAGCAAUACUUAGUACCCGCUCAGUCUGGCUUCUGAAACAGCUUCUCUACUCAAUAAAGCAGAAGAAUCCGGAUGUUUUGACCCAAAGAAGGCCGAGAGCUUCUUGCUGCUGGCCUGCGGCAGCAAAACGAGAUGACUUCUCGGUGACAAAAGCAGAAGUUCCAGUUCCAACUUCUUUUUCUUUCUGGAAUAAGAAACUUGAAGACAUUUUACUCAAGGAAAGCUUUUUCAUAUUUCUUUGAACAUCUCUACUCUACCCGCACUUCUGCAGAAGCUCUAAUCAAGCUAAAUGGGCCAACAAUGGAAAUUAAGUCGAGAUCUGGUUGAAGAAACGAAGAUCAGCAGCAUUCCUACAAACCAUUGGCUACUUUCCGCGCAGCAGAAGCCGCAGCAAUUGCAGAGAGAGAAGCACUUUUCACAAAAGCGUGGCCGAAAGGGUUCGUGAACUACGAUAAAAGCCGAAUGGAUCGGACUUUUCUCUGCCAAAACCUGGUCAAGAGUAACUGCUAUUCUGGUACAUCUGAAAUUGCUCUGUAAGAACUAAUAAGAAACAUGUAUUCUUCUUUACGGUUAAAUAAAUAUGUAUAUUACUAGA
This is a long non-coding RNA of Ananas comosus (pineapple), 1563 nucleotides long. RefSeq lists it as uncharacterized. The transcript is spliced from 2 exons. The record is from RefSeq and is a predicted model, not a curated record. NCBI's taxonomy places the organism in Eukaryota, Viridiplantae, Streptophyta, Magnoliopsida, Poales, Bromeliaceae.